AUCCCGAUCCCAAGCACCAUGGAGCCGACGAUUUGGAUCAAGACCUACAUCCCAAGCACCAAGGUGCCUGGUUGAUAUGGAUCGCGAUCCCGAUCCGGAGCUCCAGGGCGCCGAGGAUUUCGAUCACGAUCCCGAUCUGAAGCACCGAGUAGCCGAGGAUAUGGAUCAAGACCCCGGUCCGAAGCGACAAGGAGGCAAGGAUUUGGAUCACCACUCCGAUCAAAGGCACCAAGGCGUCGAGGGAUUGGAUCGAGAUCCCGAUCCCAAUCAUGAUGUUGGCUAUGUAAUUUCCUGUUUUCCACACCGUUCAGGGCAUUUUGGUGGUCGUAUCGGCUUUUAGUUGCUUGCUUGGUGUUAGUGCCAAGGGAGUGGUUGGAAGCUAGGUCGUCCUCUGGAAUGCUUGUUGUAAAGGUGUAUGAGUUGUGUUUGGCUUGUUACGGGUGUUUGUUGGCUGCUUGUGCAGGAACUUUCAUGCGUCCAAGCCUCUUCAGUUGUGCUACAAGGCCUUGUUUGUCUUGUGCAUACGGUGGGUUUCCUGUGUUGCAUACCUAAUCAAGGGCAUCGUAUGGCUUGAUCGAAGUAAAUAUUCGUAAUGCGCCGCUUGCGGCGUUGCACGAACCUCGAAGUGGUCUCUGUGGCCCAUGUUGUUUUUGCUCACGCAUGGAUGGCAUGGCCCUCGGAGCGUCGCUUGGUCUCUUGGAUACGGAACCUGAUGAUGUGGGCGGUAGGGUCUUGGAUGAUUCUACCUUCGC
RNAcentral lists this unclassified non-coding RNA (752 nucleotides) under Tolpis laciniata. Its description in RNAcentral is "partial external transcribed spacer". The record is from RNAcentral. Lineage: Eukaryota; Viridiplantae; Streptophyta; Magnoliopsida; Asterales; Asteraceae.